Molecule: unclassified non-coding RNA, 160 nt
Filed under: uncultured fungus
Lineage: Eukaryota; Fungi
Description: sequence contains ITS1, 5.8S rRNA gene
Source: RNAcentral
UUGAGGUUUCAUCCCUUUUGGGAUCCUCUCACACUUGCAUUGUUACAAUGUUGCUUCGGCAGAGCGCAAGCAAUUGCCGCUGACUCUCGAGUAAGCGCGUCUCUGCCGAAGACCCAAACUCGUCCAAUUUUUGCAGUCUUGUAAAAAACAAAUUGAAACA